Molecule: transfer RNA, 72 nt
Filed under: Bacteroidales bacterium
Lineage: Bacteria; Pseudomonadati; Bacteroidota; Bacteroidia; Bacteroidales
Description: tRNA-Arg
Rfam family: tRNA
About the family: Transfer RNA (tRNA) molecules are approximately 80 nucleotides in length. Their secondary structure includes four short double-helical elements and three loops (D, anti-codon, and T loops). Further hydrogen bonds mediate the characteristic L-shaped molecular structure. tRNAs have two regions of fundamental functional importance: the anti-codon, which is responsible for specific mRNA codon recognition, and the 3' end, to which the tRNAs corresponding amino acid is attached (by aminoacyl-tRNA synthetases). tRNAs cope with the degeneracy of the genetic code in two manners: having more than one tRNA (with a specific anti-codon) for a particular amino acid; and 'wobble' base-pairing, i.e. permitting non-standard base-pairing at the 3rd anti-codon position.
Source: RNAcentral
GGUCCUGUAGUUCAAUGGAUAGAACGGAAGUUUCCUAAACUUUUGAUAGGGGUUCGAUUCCCCUCGGGACUA